GUUAGUUGCCAUCAGGUCAUGCUGGGGACUCUACAAAACUGCCCGCGUAAGCGUGGAGGAAGGUGGGGAUGACGUCAAAUCAGCACGGCCCUUACGUCCAGGGCUACACACGUGCUACAAUGGCCGGUACAGAGGGCAGCCACUUGGUGACAAGGAGCAAAUCUCAAAAGCCGGUCUCAGUUCGGAUCGGAGUCUGCAACUCGACUCCGUGAAGUUGGAUUCGCUAAGUAAUCGCCGGAUCAGCCAAGCCGCGGUGAAUACGUUCCCGGGCCUU
This 274-nucleotide ribosomal RNA is filed under the name uncultured Bacteroidota bacterium. Its description in RNAcentral is "uncultured Bacteroidetes bacterium partial 16S ribosomal RNA". It matches the Rfam family "Bacterial small subunit ribosomal RNA", at positions 1110 to 1382 of the family's 1533-position model. Lineage: Bacteria; Pseudomonadati; Bacteroidota. The record is from RNAcentral.